AUUAAGUUAUGACAAAACAAGGUUAAUCUUUUUUAGUCACGGAAAUAUAAACCAUCACGAUUUGCCUUAUAAAAUUCAUGGCUCACAUGACCUGAAACUAAAACGUGUCUGAGUCAAAACGUGUUUAUUAUAUUUUCAUGACUAAUCUGUGACAAUUUUAUCAUAUACUCUAAACCAUUAGUCUUACAAAACAAAACUCUAAACCAUAAAUCUCAAAAUUUGACCAUAAAUCUUAAACUUAAAUUCGAAAUAUAUUUUUCAAACUUUAAUCCAAAUUCCAAACCUAAACCCAACUAUAUAAUACACUAUAUCAGGAAAAUUUAAGCUUAAUCUAUUAAUCUAAUAUUUUCAAAAUUUAAACCUCGAACUUCAGUCUAAACUCCAAGUCCUAUAUUUUCAAAAUUUAAUUCAAAAUUUUAAAUCUAAACCUAUAUAGUCUUCACACCAACCCUAAAUCACAAACAUUACAAACAUUAAACCUUAAACACUUAAUCAUUAAAAAUAAAUUAUAACCCAUAAAAUCAACAUAUAACUAUUAAAUAUAUAAAUAAGGCCAACACAGAAAAUAAUUCACAUAUAUACCUUAAAAUUUGAUUCCAAAUUUUAAAUCUAAACCUAUAUAGUCUUCAC
Molecule: long non-coding RNA, 630 nt
Filed under: Brassica napus (rape)
Lineage: Eukaryota; Viridiplantae; Streptophyta; Magnoliopsida; Brassicales; Brassicaceae
Description: long non-coding RNA (BNAP_LNC013341)
Source: RNAcentral